Molecule: ribosomal RNA, 484 nt
Filed under: uncultured bacterium
Lineage: Bacteria
Description: partial 16S ribosomal RNA
Rfam family: Bacterial small subunit ribosomal RNA
Source: RNAcentral
AUUGAACGCUGGCGGAAUGCUUUACACAUGCAAGUCGAGCGGCAGCGCGGCCUUCGGGCUGGCGGCGAGCGGCGAACGGGUGAGUAAUGCAUCGGAACAUGCCCAGUCGUGGGGGAUAACACUUCGAAAGAAGUGCUAAUACCGCAUACGUCCUGAGGGGGAAAGCGAGGGAUCGCAAGACCUCGCGCGAUUGGAGUGGCCGAUGUCAGAUUAGCUAGUUGGUGGGGUAAAGGCCUACCAAGGCGACGAUCUGUAGCUGGUCUGAGAGGAUGAUCAGCCACACUGGGACUGAGACACGGCCCAGACUCCUACGGGAGGCAGCAGUGGGGAAUUUUGGACAAUGGGGGCAACCCUGAUCCAGCCAUUCCGCGUGAGUGAAGAAGGCCUUCGGGUUGUAAAGCUCUUUCGGCAGGAACGAAACGGUGGGCUCUAACAUAGUCCGCUAAUGACGGUACCUGAAGAAGAAGCACCGGCUAACUACGUG